Molecule: ribosomal RNA, 497 nt
Filed under: uncultured bacterium
Lineage: Bacteria
Description: partial 16S ribosomal RNA
Rfam family: Bacterial small subunit ribosomal RNA
Source: RNAcentral
GAUGAACGCUGGCGGCGUGCCUAAUACAUGCAAGUCGAGCGAACAGACGAUGCUCUUGCUCCUCUCACGUUAGCAACGGACGGGUGAGUAACACGUGGUUUACCUACCUCUACGACUGAGAUAAGUGCGAGUGACCGUAGCUCAUACCGGAUAAUAUAUUUAACCGCAUGGUUCAAUAGUUUAUGACGUUUUUGCUGUCCCUUAUAGCUGUAUUCGUGUCGCUUUAGCUAGUUGGUAAGGUAACGGCUUACCAAGGCAACGAUGCGUAGCCGACCCGGGAGCGGGUAGGCCCACAGUGGGACUGAGACGCGGUCCUGAGUCUGACGGGCGGCAGCAGCAGGGAAGCGUGGGCAAUGGGCGGAAGACUGAAGGAGCAACGCCGCGUGAGUGAAGAAGGUCUUCGGAUCGUAAAACUCUGUUAGUAUUGAAGAACAAUUGUGUAAGUAACGAUGCACGUCGUGACGGUACCUAGUCAGAAAGCAACGGCUAACUACGUG